GAUGAACGCUGGCGGCGUGCCUAACACAUGCAAGUCGAACGAAACUGAUUUCAUGAAACUUCGGUAGAUUGGAUGAAAGUUGAGUGGCGGACGGGUGAGUAACACGUGGGCAACCUGCCUCACAGAGGGGGGAUAGCAGUUGGAAACGACUGCUAAUACCGCAUGAUACAUUUGGGCGGCAUCGCUUGGAUGUCAAAGAUUUUAUCGCUGAAAGAUGGCCUCGCGUCUGAUUAGAUAGUUGGCGGGGUAACGGCCCACCAAGUCGACGAUCAGUAGCCGGACUGAGAGGUUGACCGGCCACAUUGGGACUGAGAUACGGCCCAGACUCCUACGGGAGGCAGCAGUGGGGAAUAUUGGGCAAUGGACGCAAGUCUGACCCAGCAACGCCGCGUGAAGGAAGAAGGCUUUCGGGUUGUAAACUUCUUUUAAGGGGGAAGAGCAGAAGACGGUACCCCUUGAAUAAGCCACGGCUAACUACGUG
Molecule: ribosomal RNA, 481 nt
Filed under: uncultured bacterium
Lineage: Bacteria
Description: bacterial SSU rRNA
Rfam family: Bacterial small subunit ribosomal RNA
Source: RNAcentral